UUUUGCUUGUAAUUAAUUUAAGGAUUAAUUGCAUACAGGUCCCCGCAAAUAUAGUGAAUUAUAGAUAUAUUCCUACAAAGUUCAACUUUCAUUAGUUAUUCCUACAAAAUUUCUAAUGUAUUUAGAUAUGUUCCUGCCAUUAGAAUCCGUUAAAAAAAUAUAGUUAAUCACAAUUAAAAUACUUAACCAGAAUUAAUUAAUAAGAUAAAUUGAUAAUUUUAUCCUUUAUCUUCUUCCUCUUCCUCUUCGUCUUCAUCUUCUUCCUUUUCCUCUUCGUCUUCUUUUUCUUCUCUUCCUUUUCUCCUCCUUCUUCUUCCUUUUUCUUUUCCUCCUCUUUCUUCGAAUCAGCCGCACCUUCGCCCUUCGUCUCGUCGCUGCGGGCCUCAGCCUUGUCCUUACCGGCCGCAACUCCAACAAACUCCACGCCGCCGCUGCCGCCGCCGCCAUCCGCUUCCGCAGCUCAAAAAGGAAGAGAAAAAGGAAAAUGGAGAUUUGUGAGGGCAUUUCUGCAAAUGUAUACCAGCUGGAGUUUUAGAGGGACAUAUUUAUAAGGGUAAAAAUGUCAUUUUACGAAUCUACUGUUAAAAAUUAAACCGUUCUUUAACGGAUGCUAACCAGAGGGACAUAUCUGAAUAUAUUAGAAAUUUUGCAGGGAUAGCUUACGAAAGUUGAACUUUGCAGGAAUAUAUCUACAAUUUACCAUGUUUGCGGAGAUCUGUAUGCAAUUAACCCUUAAUUUAAAUUCAACAAUUAAAAUACAUAAAUUUAUGUAGCAACUUGUCAUAU
RNAcentral lists this long non-coding RNA (786 nucleotides) under Ananas comosus (pineapple). RNAcentral's name for it is "long non-coding RNA (ACOM_LNC039407)". Lineage: Eukaryota; Viridiplantae; Streptophyta; Magnoliopsida; Poales; Bromeliaceae. The record is from RNAcentral.